This 253-nucleotide ribosomal RNA is filed under the name uncultured bacterium. RNAcentral describes it as "partial 16S ribosomal RNA". It matches the Rfam family "Bacterial small subunit ribosomal RNA", at positions 524 to 776 of the family's 1533-position model. The record is from RNAcentral.
UACGUAGGGUGCAAGCGUUGUCCGGAAUUAUUGGGCGUAAAGAGCUCGUAGGCGGUCUGUUGCGUCUGCUGUGAAAGCCCGGGGCUCAACCCCGGGCCUGCGGCCGAUACGGGCAGACUAGAGGGUGGUAGGGGAGAAUGGAAUUCCCGGUGUAGCGGUGAAAUGCGCAGAUAUCGGGAGGAACACCGGUGGCGAAGGCAGGUCUCUGGGCCACACCUGACGCUGAGAAGCGAAAGCGUGGGGAGCGAACAGG